GACGAACGCUGGCGGCGUGCUUAACACAUGCAAGUCGAACGGUGAAGCGCCUUCCUUUUUGGUGGGUGUGGAUGAGUGGCGAACGGGUGAGUAACACGUGAGUAACCUGCCCCCUUCUUCUGGAUAACCGCAUGAAAGUGUGGCUAAUACGGGAUAUGCUGGGUCUGUCGCAUGAUGGGUCUGGGAAAGAUAUUGUUUCGGUGGGGGAUGGGCUCGCGGCGUAUCAGCUUGUUGGUGGGGUGAUGGCCUACCAAGGCGGCGAUGGGUAGCAGGCCUGAUAGGAGGAUCGGCCGUCAUACAAGUGCGACAACACCGACACGCCUCCUACAGGCAGCAGUGGUGAAGAAUGGUGCAUGGUGGGCAGACGGCUGCAGCAGUGCCGCGGCGGGGGAGAUGGAGUCCUUCGGGUAGUGACCUUCUGUCGGGAGUGAAGCGGGGCUGCCUCGUUUGUGGGUGUGUUGACGGUAGCUAGAGAAGAAGCACCGGCUAACUACGUG
This 497-nucleotide ribosomal RNA is filed under the name uncultured bacterium. RNAcentral's name for it is "partial 16S ribosomal RNA". It matches the Rfam family "Bacterial small subunit ribosomal RNA", at positions 28 to 507 of the family's 1533-position model. The record is from RNAcentral.